GAUGAACCCUGGCGGCGUGCCUAAUACAUGCAAGUCGAGCGAACAGACGAGGAGCUUGCUCCUCUGACGUUAGCGGCGGACGGGUGAGUAACACGUGGAUAACCUACCUAUAAGACUGGGAUAACUUCGGGAAACCGGAGCUAAUACCGGAUAAUAUAUUGAACCGCAUGGUUCAAUAGUGAAAGACGGUUUUGCUGUCACUUAUAGAUGGAUCCGCGCCGCAUUAGCUAGUUGGUAAGGUAACGGCUUACCAAGGCAACGAUGCGUAGCCGACCUGAGAGGGUGAUCGGCCACACUGGAACUGAGACACGGUCCAGACUCCUACGGGAGGCAGCAGUAGGGAAUCUUCCGCAAUGGGCGAAAGCCUGACGGAGCAACGCCGCGUGAGUGAUGAAGGUCUUCGGAUCGUAAAACUCUGUUAUUAGGGAAGAACAAAUGUGUAAGUAACUAUGCACGUCUUGACGGUACCUAAUCAGAAAGCCACGGCUAACUACGU
RNAcentral lists this ribosomal RNA (496 nucleotides) under uncultured bacterium. RNAcentral describes it as "partial 16S ribosomal RNA". It matches the Rfam family "Bacterial small subunit ribosomal RNA", at positions 28 to 506 of the family's 1533-position model. The record is from RNAcentral.